GGUGGUAAGGCAAUCCUGUAAGCGACAGAACCAACCCAAUCUUGGGCUUAACUUUCCUUUAGGAUUUGGUUCUUGAUAUCUGGUUCAUUAGGUACACAUACUAUAUCCCCAAAUCUCAAUAGGCCAUCCUUUGAAACUUGAAAUUUUGGCUUCAAUUCCUUUUCUACUUCAUUCCUCAAGUAGAUUAAACGUGGAUCUCGUAAUUG
RNAcentral lists this long non-coding RNA (206 nucleotides) under Musa acuminata (dwarf banana). RNAcentral's name for it is "long non-coding RNA (MACU_LNC010551)". The record is from RNAcentral. Lineage: Eukaryota; Viridiplantae; Streptophyta; Magnoliopsida; Zingiberales; Musaceae.